AUGGCAAAUGCCUCCCUCCAGUCCUUCCUCCCCCAGCACCACCAUUCUUUCCCCAGCAGCACGACCCACGACGGCUCCCCUCCCGCGCUCCUCAAGCUCACCGCCAACACCACCACCAACGCCAGCAACAGCAUUUCAUUCAAGCUCUUCGCCAGCAGCUCCUCCUCAGUGACCACAACCGCCAACUCGCCGGCUCCGACUCCGGUCGCCGCCGCCGCGGCGACAACCUCGCCGCCCACCCCCUCCCUGGAGCUCCUGGGCCAGCAGCUGGCGGAGGGGGACUACUGGCAGGCUGACGAGACCACCCGGGCCCUCCUCAUCGUCCUCGCGGGCGAGGCCGCGCGCCGCCGAGGGUACGUCUUCUUCUCGGAGGUCCAGUUCAUCUCCGUCGAGGACCUCCGCGCCGUGGACGCGCUCUGGCUGGAGCACAGCGGCGGCAGGUUCGGGUACAGCGUGCAGCGCCGGAUUUGGGAGAAGUCGCUGCGCGAGUUCACCCGAUUCUUCAUCAAGAUUGGCUGGAUGAAGAAGCUGGACACCGAGGUGGAGCAGUUCAACUACAGGGCCUUCCCGGACGAGUUCAUCUGGGAGCUCAAUGACGACACGCCGGAGGGCCACCUGCCCCUCACCAAUGCGCUCAGGGGCACACGGCUCCUGGAGAACAUCUUCACCCACCCCGCCUUCGACUGCGAGGAAGAAGAAGCAGCAGGAGCAGAGGAGGAGGCUGACAAGGGCAGUGCCACUGAUCAGAAUAAUAAGGAUGACAACAAAGGCAGGGGCAGGCCAAAGAGUUUGACAGAUUUCAAGCCUGAUUACUCCUUUUAA
This 822-nucleotide ribosomal RNA is filed under the name Triticum aestivum (bread wheat). RNAcentral describes it as "partial small subunit ribosomal RNA". Lineage: Eukaryota; Viridiplantae; Streptophyta; Magnoliopsida; Poales; Poaceae. The record is from RNAcentral.